GUGAGUAUAAUUUAACAAAAAUUCUAGAUUGUGAUUCUAGCAAUAAAGGUUUAAAUCCUUUUACUCACC
Molecule: transfer RNA, 69 nt
Filed under: Chalcorana labialis
Lineage: Eukaryota; Metazoa; Chordata; Amphibia; Anura; Ranidae
Description: tRNA-His
Rfam family: tRNA
About the family: Transfer RNA (tRNA) molecules are approximately 80 nucleotides in length. Their secondary structure includes four short double-helical elements and three loops (D, anti-codon, and T loops). Further hydrogen bonds mediate the characteristic L-shaped molecular structure. tRNAs have two regions of fundamental functional importance: the anti-codon, which is responsible for specific mRNA codon recognition, and the 3' end, to which the tRNAs corresponding amino acid is attached (by aminoacyl-tRNA synthetases). tRNAs cope with the degeneracy of the genetic code in two manners: having more than one tRNA (with a specific anti-codon) for a particular amino acid; and 'wobble' base-pairing, i.e. permitting non-standard base-pairing at the 3rd anti-codon position.
Source: RNAcentral